UUCUCUCUCUUCUCACAGCACUUUGUCUCUCUUCUCUCUGUUUUCUCUCCUCUUAACUGAAACUCUCUCAAACCCUAACUUUUUCUAAGCCAAAAUCCUUGAUUUUGAGUAAGUUUUUGUGAAAACUAAUCAAUUCUAAAACAUCUAAAUUAUAUAAUCACAGAUUUUUUAAAUUUGUUUGUCAAUUUUUAUUCUCAGAUCUAUAAAUUUUUUAUUUUUGAUCAAAUCAUAGAUUUCUCUGUAAAAUCACUUUGUUUAAAUCGUUUUUGAUCACUAAGAUUAAGUUACUACCGAUCAGUUUAGCUUCAGCCGUCCAUUUUUUUAAUCCUCUCAAACUCUAAUUUUAUUUCUACAAAAAUCUUUGAGUUCUAAACCAUUUUUGCUAAAUUAAUCGAUUUAACUACCUCUAAAUCAU
This 415-nucleotide long non-coding RNA is filed under the name Panax ginseng (ginseng). RNAcentral's name for it is "long non-coding RNA (PGIN_LNC003046)". Lineage: Eukaryota; Viridiplantae; Streptophyta; Magnoliopsida; Apiales; Araliaceae. The record is from RNAcentral.